This 860-nucleotide long non-coding RNA is filed under the name Heterocephalus glaber (naked mole-rat). Its description in RNAcentral is "lncRNA (ENSHGLG00100042544.1)". Lineage: Eukaryota; Metazoa; Chordata; Mammalia; Rodentia; Bathyergidae. The record is from RNAcentral.
CAGGGAAGACCUUGUGCCUCUCACCCUGGACUCAGAUUCUGACAAUCGUGCUUAUUUUUCUCUAUUUUUGGAAUCGUAGUACCAGUUGAGCACCACUGAGAGGCGGUGGAGACCUCAAGGGGUGGAACCAUCAGGUCUAGGCCGCUGGGGGACUGCAGGAUCAGCUCUUUCUCCCUUUCUGGCUGUGCUGCUGCCAUAAUGUGCGCCUUGACGAAGCCUAACAGCAACAGCCUCAACCUGUCAUGGACCGAGACUUCCUUCCAGACAGGUGGGCCGAGCGCCUCUCCUCUGCAUAAGUCUGUUAUCCUAGGGCUUGGUUAGCAGGGCCGGGAGCUAGCGCGCAGACCAAAGCAACGGAAGCAGAGAGGGACGUCACGGAGGUUUCCAAAGUUUUGUUCAUUUCCGUUUAACUCACUUUCUUGUCUGUGUCACGAUCUUCCUGAAAAAUGCGCCUUGGGGACGAGGAGUCCUUUGUGACUCUCACCAGCCAGAUUUUCGGGGGAUUCGCCCGCAGACGAGAGGCCGGGGAGCGCAACACGAACCUUAGCGUUUCCCAAAGAUGUUACUUCAAGGCUGCUCGUGAGAGGCACUUGCUCCUUAACAACUGCGGAGGGCGGACGCGGCGGUGCUGCGCUGGGACAGUUUCUUUAUAGGGUCCACAUCUCGCGAGAACCCACGAGAAGACCACGUGAGGUCCCGAGAGGCCCUGCUGUGUUGAUCCUGGAAUCCCGCCAUGCUUCUCUUCCCACCUCGCCCAAGCCACGCCCUAUGUCCUACCUCAGUGGUGCUAACCGAGCUGCUUAUCCCACUGACUCAGGAUGAAGUGUGUUUUCACCCAAAGCUUUCAUUCCCCAUUUGAG